RNAcentral lists this ribosomal RNA (465 nucleotides) under Flavobacterium sp. IGS140. RNAcentral's name for it is "bacterial SSU rRNA". It matches the Rfam family "Bacterial small subunit ribosomal RNA", at positions 11 to 478 of the family's 1533-position model. The record is from RNAcentral. Lineage: Bacteria; Pseudomonadati; Bacteroidota; Flavobacteriia; Flavobacteriales; Flavobacteriaceae.
GUUUGAACCUGGCUCAGGAUGAACGCUAGCGGCAGGCUUAACACAUGCAAGUCGAGGGGUAGAAGUCUUCGGACUUUGAGACCGGCGCACGGGUGCGUAACGCGUAUGCAAUCUACCUUUUACAGAGGGAUAGCCCAGAGAAAUUUGGAUUAAUACCUCAUAGUAUUAUGAAAUGGCAUCAUUUUAUAAUUAAAGUCACAACGGUAAAAGAUGAGCAUGCGUCCCAUUAGCUAGUUGGUAAGGUAACGGCUUACCAAGGCUACGAUGGGUAGGGGUCCUGAGAGGGAGAUCCCCCACACUGGUACUGAGACACGGACCAGACUCCUACGGGAGGCAGCAGUGAGGAAUAUUGGACAAUGGGCGCAAGCCUGAUCCAGCCAUGCCGCGUGCAGGAUGACGGUCCUAUGGAUUGUAAACUGCUUUUAUACGAGAAGAAACACUCCUUCGUGAAGGAAUUGACGGUAU